RNAcentral lists this non-coding RNA (22 nucleotides) under Arabidopsis thaliana (thale cress). Lineage: Eukaryota; Viridiplantae; Streptophyta; Magnoliopsida; Brassicales; Brassicaceae. The record is from RNAcentral.
UUCAUUUGUUCACACCUCCACU